GGGUUGUGAGGUUAAGCGACUAAGCGUACACGGUGGAUGCCCUGGCAGUCAGAGGCGAUGAAGGACGUGCUAAUCUGCGAAAAGCGUCGGUAAGGUGAUAUGAACCGUUAUAACCGGCGAUGUCCGAAUGGGGAAACCCAGUGUGAUUCGUCACACUAUCGUUAACUGAAUACAUAGGUUAACGAGGCGAACCGGGGGAACUGAAACAUCUAAGUACCCCGAGGAAAAGAAAUCAACCGAGAUUCCCCCAGUAGCGGCGAGCGAACGGGGAGCAGCCCAGAGUCUGAAUCAGCUUGUGUGUUAGUGGAACGGUCUGGAAAGUCCGACGGUACAGGGUGAUAGUCCCGUACACCAAAAUGCACAGGCUGUGAACUCGAAGAGUAGGGCGGGACACGUGGUAUCCUGUCUGAAUAUGGGGGGACCAUCCUCCAAGGCUAAAUACUCCUGACUGACCGAUAGUGAACCAGUACCGUGAGGGAAAGGCGAAAAGAACCCCGGCGAGGGGAGUGAAAAAGAACCUGAAACCGUGUACGUACAAGCAGUGGGAGCACCUUCGGGUGUGACUGCGUACCUUUUGUAUAAUGGGUCAGCGACUUAUAUUCUGUAGCAAGGUUAACCGUAUAGGGGAGCCGCAGGGAAACCGAGUCUUAACUGGGCGUUAAGUUGCAGGGUAUAGACCCGAAACCCGGUGAUCUAGCCAUGGGCAGGUUGAAGGUUGGGUAACACUAACUGGAGGACCGAACCGACUAAUGUUGAAAAAUUAGCGGAUGACUUGUGGCUGGGGGUGAAAGGCCAAUCAAACCGGGAGAUAGCUGGUUCUCCCCGAAAGCUAUUUAGGUAGCGCCUCGUGAACUCAUCUUCGGGGGUAGAGCACUGUUUCGGCUAGGGGGUCAUCCCGACUUACCAACCCGAUGCAAACUACGAAUACCGAAGAAUGUUAUCACGGGAGACACACGGCGGGUGCUAACGUCCGUCGUGAAGAGGGAAACAACCCAGACCGCCAGCUAAGGUCCCAAAGUCAUGGUUAAGUGGGAAACGAUGUGGGAAGGCACAGACAGCCAGGAUGUUGGCUUAGAAGCAGCCAUCAUUUAAAGAAAGCGUAAUAGCUCACUGGUCGAGUCGGCCUGCGCGGAAGAUGUAACGGGGCUAAACCAUGCACCGAAGCUGCGGCAGCGACACGAUGUGUUGUUGGGUAGGGGAGCGUUCUGUAAGCCUGCGAAGGUGACCUGUGAGGGUUGCUGGAGGUAUCAGAAGUGCGAAUGCUGACAUAAGUAACGAUAAAGCGGGUGAAAAGCCCGCUCGCCGGAAGACCAAGGGUUCCUGUCCAACGUUAAUCGGGGCAGGGUGAGUCGACCCCUAAGGCGAGGCCGAAAGGCGUAGUCGAUGGGAAACAGGUUAAUAUUCCUGUACUUGGUGUUACUGCGAAGGGGGGACGGAGAAGGCUAUGUUAGCCGGGCGACGGUUGUCCCGGUUUAAGCAUGUAGGCUGGUUAUCCAGGCAAAUCCGGAUAAUCAAGGCUGAGGUGUGAUGACGAGGUACUACGGUGCUGAAGUAACAAAUGCCCUGCUUCCAGGAAAAGCCUCUAAGCAUCAGGUAACAUCAAAUCGUACCCCAAACCGACACAGGUGGUCAGGUAGAGAAUACCAAGGCGCUUGAGAGAACUCGGGUGAAGGAACUAGGCAAAAUGGUGCCGUAACUUCGGGAGAAGGCACGCUGGUGUGUAGGUGAAGUCCCUGCGGAUGGAGCUGAGACCAGUCGAAGAUACCAGCUGGCUGCAACUGUUUAUUAAAAACACAGCACUGUGCAAACACGAAAGUGGACGUAUACGGUGUGACGCCUGCCCGGUGCCGGAAGGUUAAUUGAUGGGGUUAUCCGUAAGGAGAAGCUCUUGAUCGAAGCCCCGGUAAACGGCGGCCGUAACUAUAACGGUCCUAAGGUAGCGAAAUUCCUUGUCGGGUAAGUUCCGACCUGCACGAAUGGCGUAAUGAUGGCCAGGCUGUCUCCACCCGAGACUCAGUGAAAUUGAACUCGCUGUGAAGAUGCAGUGUACCCGCGGCAAGACGGAAAGACCCCGUGAACCUUUACUAUAGCUUGACACUGAACAUUGAGCCUUGAUGUGUAGGAUAGGUGGGAGGCUUUGAAGCGUGGACGCCAGUCUGCGUGGAGCCAACCUUGAAAUACCACCCUUUAAUGUUUGAUGUUCUAACGUUGGCCCCUUACCGGGGUUGCGGACAGUGUCUGGUGGGUAGUUUGACUGGGGCGGUCUCCUCCCAAAGCGUAACGGAGGAGCACGAAGGUUAGCUAAUCCUGGUCGGACAUCAGGAGGUUAGUGCAAUGGCAUAAGCUAGCUUGACUGCGAGCGUGACGGCGCGAGCAGGUGCGAAAGCAGGUCAUAGUGAUCCGGUGGUUCUGAAUGGAAGGGCCAUCGCUCAACGGAUAAAAGGUACUCCGGGGAUAACAGGCUGAUACCGCCCAAGAGUUCAUAUCGACGGCGGUGUUUGGCACCUCGAUGUCGGCUCAUCACAUCCUGGGGCUGAAGUAGGUCCCAAGGGUAUGGCUGUUCGCCAUUUAAAGUGGUACGCGAGCUGGGUUUAGAACGUCGUGAGACAGUUCGGUCCCUAUCUGCCGUGGGCGCUGGAGAAUUGAGGGGGGCUGCUCCUAGUACGAGAGGACCGGAGUGGACGCAUCACUGGUGUUCGGGUUGUCAUGCCAAUGGCACUGCCCGGUAGCUAAAUGCGGAAGAGAUAAGUGCUGAAAGCAUCUAAGCACGAAACUUGCCCCGAGAUGAGUUCUCCCUGAGACU
This 2803-nucleotide ribosomal RNA is filed under the name Klebsiella quasipneumoniae. RNAcentral's name for it is "partial 23S ribosomal RNA". It matches the Rfam family "Bacterial large subunit ribosomal RNA". Lineage: Bacteria; Pseudomonadati; Pseudomonadota; Gammaproteobacteria; Enterobacterales; Enterobacteriaceae. The record is from RNAcentral.